This 253-nucleotide ribosomal RNA is filed under the name uncultured bacterium. Its description in RNAcentral is "partial 16S ribosomal RNA". It matches the Rfam family "Bacterial small subunit ribosomal RNA", at positions 524 to 776 of the family's 1533-position model. The record is from RNAcentral.
UACAGAGGGGGCAAGCGUUGUUCGGAAUUACUGGGCGUAAAGGGCGCGUAGGCGGCCGCCUAAGUCAGACGUGAAAUCCCUCGGCUCAACUGAGGAACUGCCUUUGAAACUGUCUGGCUUGAGGCCGGGAGAGGGUAGCGGAAUUCCCAGUGUAGCGGUGAAAUGCGUAGAUACUGGGAGGAACACCGGUGGCGAAGGCGGCUACCUGGACCGGUUCUGACGCUGAUGCGCGAAAGCGUGGGUAGCAAACAGG